CCCACGCGACCUCCUCCGGUAUCCUUGAGUUUUGAUCUAUUUUGGAGUUUACAGCUGCUCUUUCCUAGGCACUUGCGAUUAAUCGUGCAAGAGAGUCCUCAACGUGGUUUAAAACUGAAACAGACCAGGCACGUCGAUAUGAAAUCUACAUAUUAUGUAUGCUUGGUGUUUUGCUGAAUCUUGGGUGCCCAGAGACUCUUGACGAUGUGCAUCCUUUCUUGUUUAAUCUUUUUGCAGACUCGGUAAUCACUAUACUGCAAAACAAUACUUGCCUAUGUGUUUUUUACUCACUAUAUAUACUGUUCCCGUACUUUUACCUUGCAGGUUUAACAAUUGUGGAGCAAAAAUAGUUAGUGGUUUGUUACGUAAAUGUGCAACAGGUUUAAAUACUGCAGAUAUGUGGGGAGCUAAUUUUUCGUAAUUCCAUUUUUUGUUGUGUCAUUAAUCAUGUUAUGAUUGCUUGAGCUAGCAAUACAGAUGGAUGCAUGUUACUUAUGUAUAUGAGUAAAUUUGCCAAUUGCCAUAACUGCCAUGCACUGAAUUUCUUAGCCUUGAAUCAUAGAGCAAGCUUUUUCAUGUACUAAUUUUAUAUCCAUGACUCAUGAUCACAGGACAUUGCAUUAUCCAUCUUCCUAGGCUGUUUCGCUUUCUGCAGAAGCACAUAGCACAAUUCAUAACGGUACUGAGAGAACGUGAGACUAAGAAAGGUUAUGCAUCCAUAGGCUGAGGUUCUCUUUGACAAAUUACUGAUGCGCAGGUAUGUCUUAACCUUUUGAUGCCAAAUUUGCCAAUUGCCAUGACUGCCAUGCACUGAAUUUCUUAGCAAUGUGGAUUUCUUAGCACUGAAUUGCCAUGACUGCCAUAAAAAUCAGCAUUUGCAAAAUGGUUCCGUUUAGCCUGACUUUUUUCACAAAGAGCAAUGAGUGGACAGGUUAGCAAUUAUGGACUAUUUGUUUGUUUUAUUGCUUAAUGCAAUAGUUCUGUGCAAUGCCGCGCCUACCAAUGCUAAUGAUUUAUUUUCCAUUAUCAGGGAAAAUCUGAGGUGUGGUUCGAACAGCUUGUCCAUGCACUACUGAGGAUGUGGUUUGUGUUUCCUGUAAAUCAGAUUUGAUUUGGUUUGAUUUCUUUGAGAAGUGCUUGAGCUCUAGGUUGUAUCUGAGCUUUCUUGCUGUUCUCUCCUCUAGGUUUCAGGCUUUUAGUGAGCAUAUGAAGCUUUGGCUUUGGUCACCUCUUGUGCCUGUAUUUGCAACAGCAACAGCUUGUGCCUGUACUACCGAUCUGUUUUUAGAGCAUAGUUCCUUCCUGUGUGUUUUCCAUCUGCAAGUUCAGUGAUAUUAUAUUCUUCUGUUUUGUAGGUACUUUGUGAUAGGCUUGGAAUAGAAACAACUACAGAAAUCACUGUAAUUGAAGUCUUACAACCAAACGUGUAUACGCAACCAAGUGAACAGCUUGACUGGUGCCGGCGUGCCGCCAUCCUUGAAAAUGCAGCUCCUGCUGCAUCGAAGGGUAGUGAUCAUCCUUCACCUUCAGAUGUUUUCUGGCUGAUCCAUUUAAAAGCAACCCUCCAAUACUGAUAACAGGUGUGUUUCAAGUUGCUUAUGACAUGUUUGAUCAAUUGGCGGGCUACAUUCAUGAAGCCUAAAUCUGUUGCCUGGGUGCAUGGUGCCUUCCGGACAGAACUCCACAGGGUGAUACAAAGGAACAAGCAUUACUCCCGGUAUGAUUGUUUGAAGCAUUGAGUUUUGUAUUUGCAUUAUUCAAUUCAGAGCCCAUGCGCGAGGGGAGGUAGGGGUGUGGGACAGGCGCCUAACGAAGGGACGGAACGACCUGACGAAGACGAAGCGCGCGGGGAAGAGGAAGAGACAAGGCGCAGGCACUGGGUGGACACAUACCAUCGGCGGCGGCUCGUGUUAAUUUGUGUGGACCUAGGCUCUCCGCAUAGUCUAACGCGAGACUGCUCUGUGCUUAGUGGCAUUCCAAUUAUGAUCAUACCAACUUACAGCACGCACGUGCCGCGCGGGCAUUGUAACUAGUCACAUAAAUAAAUACGCAUAUAUACGUUAUUAGGCAAUUAUGUCCGUGUAUUGCUACGGACAAAAAUUGAUAUAAGUAUCGGAUACGUAUUGGUGUCA
This is a long non-coding RNA of Panicum virgatum (switchgrass), 2132 nucleotides long. RefSeq lists it as uncharacterized. The record is from RefSeq and is a predicted model, not a curated record. NCBI's taxonomy places the organism in Eukaryota, Viridiplantae, Streptophyta, Magnoliopsida, Poales, Poaceae. The transcript has 4 exons.